Molecule: ribosomal RNA, 482 nt
Filed under: Streptococcus sp. oral taxon C65
Lineage: Bacteria; Bacillati; Bacillota; Bacilli; Lactobacillales; Streptococcaceae
Description: bacterial SSU rRNA
Rfam family: Bacterial small subunit ribosomal RNA
Source: RNAcentral
GACGAACGCUGGCGGCGUGCCUAAUACAUGCAAGUAGAACGCUGAAGAGAGGAGCUUGCUCUUCUUGGAUGAGUUGCGAACGGGUGAGUAACGCGUAGGUAACCUGCCUUGUAGCGGGGGAUAACUAUUGGAAACGAUAGCUAAUACCGCAUAACAAUGGAUGACACAUGUCAUUUAUUUGAAAGGGGCAAUUGCUCCACUACAAGAUGGACCUGCGUUGUAUUAGCUAGUAGGUGAGGUAACGGCUCACCUAGGCGACGAUACAUAGCCGACCUGAGAGGGUGAUCGGCCACACUGGGACUGAGACACGGCCCAGACUCCUACGGGAGGCAGCAGUAGGGAAUCUUCGGCAAUGGGGGCAACCCUGACCGAGCAACGCCGCGUGAGUGAAGAAGGUUUUCGGAUCGUAAAGCUCUGUUGUAAGUCAAGAACGAGUGUGAGAGUGGAAAGUUCACACUGUGACGGUAGCUUACCAGAAAGGG